Long non-coding RNA from Solanum verrucosum, 611 nucleotides. RefSeq lists it as uncharacterized. The transcript has 2 exons. The record is from RefSeq and is a predicted model, not a curated record. Lineage: Eukaryota; Viridiplantae; Streptophyta; Magnoliopsida; Solanales; Solanaceae.
UCAGCAAACUUUGAGUCAAAGCACUAUGGAUGAGUCUAUAAUAUCGCCAGAUAAUGCAAUUGGUAAAGUGCUAGGAAAAGAGCACUCUGGAAGGGUAAGGUGUUUGGGAUUAGGAGUUGUUCCCACUAAAGUUUUAAACAAGCAAGACCUCGAUUCAACGGUAUGAAUGCUUCGAGUGUUUCAUGUCCAUCCAAUUGCCAACAGAAUUACAAUAAAUUGUUGAAUUGUCACAAUCAAAUGAUGGCCGCUUUCAAGUCAUAUAUGAUAAUGAAAGAAGGGACAUUACCAGAACAAUUUGUGGGGUUAUUUGCUCCUCCUCCUACAAUGACAGGUGAUGCUAGUGACAGUAGUCGUAGUGACAAUCGUUGAAGUUCCAUGAAUAGUUGCAGGUCAUUUCUUGAGUAUGGAUGCUAGUGAACCCUUUUCAUCAAUAAAAGCAAGAUUAGCAAAUGACAGUUUUUGUAGUGAUUUGAAGUUUCUUGUAAUCGUAAUGGUUGUAGUGAAUGAUAUGUUUCAAUUUAGUUUGUAAAACUAAUAGUACACUUUAUGAUAUAUUUUUUUGUUGAAAUAUUUUGUUGUUUCUUAAUACUAAUAAGCCCUUUUAGGUUUGA